CAAAUACAGUAUUGUCUACAGUAACUUAUUAAUCAGUAAGAGUGGCUUGACUUACGAGGUCUGUCAAAUACAGUAUUGUCUACAGUAACUUAUUAAUCAGUAAGAGUGGCUUGACUUACGAGGUCUGUCAAAUACAGUAUUGUCUACAGUAACUUAUUAAUCAGUAAGAGUGGCUUGACUUACGAGGUCUGUCAAAUACAGUAUUGUCUACAGUAACUUAUUAAUCAGUAAGAGUGGCUUGACUUACGAUAUCUGUCAAAUACAGUAUUGUCUACAGUAACUUAUUAAUCAGUAAGAGUCGC
Long non-coding RNA from Mytilus californianus (California mussel), 302 nucleotides. RefSeq lists it as uncharacterized. The record is from RefSeq and is a predicted model, not a curated record. The transcript has 3 exons. NCBI's taxonomy places the organism in Eukaryota, Metazoa, Mollusca, Bivalvia, Mytilida, Mytilidae.